This 982-nucleotide long non-coding RNA is filed under the name Anser brachyrhynchus (Pink-footed goose). RNAcentral describes it as "lncRNA (ENSABRG00000018518.1)". Lineage: Eukaryota; Metazoa; Chordata; Aves; Anseriformes; Anatidae. The record is from RNAcentral.
AUGGGCUGCAGAUCCUCAGACAAAGGCUUCAUUAAGAAGAACGAGGUUUCAGCAGUUCGGACAGACCCCCAAGUGCUGUGCGCUGAAUGCAAUACUUGCAAAUUGGGAUUUUUUUCUCACAGAUGUUUGCUGUUUACCAGAAACCUGAAUGACUUUAAGGCUCCCAGGAGUUCUCUCGCCUCUUCUGCAAUGAAGACCUUUCCAGGCAGAGGUGCCCAGAGAAUUGCUGCCAAGAUCAACUUUCCUACCUCCAGUACGUGCGUGGCAGGGAGGAGAGAGCACCUGGAGCGCUGGUGCUCCUGCCUCUGGCUGAGAGUUGAGAGAGCUGCUGAGCAUCUUCUCCUGCUUCUCCACAUAAUGCAGCUCAAAGCUGAGACCCGUCACUCAACCCAAGGAGAGCUAAUGCGUGGGUUACAGCCUUCCUGCCUCAGUCUUCCAGGCAUGCUGGUGCUUGAUCCCUCACGUAGGAGCUCCUUGGCCAGUCUGAUGUCUACCUGCUGCAUCCCUGGCUUUUGCAAUAUAACCCAACAGCCUGUGAUACUGGAAGCAUUUCGUAGCUAUUUUGUACCCUGUACUGUUUGCACCUGUGCAAAAUGGAUUUAUAGAGCUGACAGGCAGAUUUGGUGCCAUCUGAGCACCCUGUGGAUGACUGCACAGAGAGGAAAUCCUGGCAGAGAACAGGGCCUGAUCUAGGCAUCUCUUGCCUUGAAUUCCACGAAUUGUCACAGCACAAGAGAAGAAAUUAAGCCUUGAUUUGGCUACAUUUAGGCACUGGGUUUGGAGAUGGAUUAAGACCUUUCAAAACUCAUCUAGUCUAUCCCAUCCCCUCCUACCUCCUUUUCUAAGUAAACGUGGCGAUCCCAUAUACCGAUAACGCUCUCUCAGAUCUGGGAUAUCUUUUGGCUGUAUCUUUCGCCCCGCUGGAAAUCUCUCCCUUUCUGCCCUCCCUCCGCUCCACCCCACUCAAAUUCUUCAGCUGCAG